Aedes albopictus (Asian tiger mosquito) is the source of this 11198-nucleotide RNA transcript. RefSeq lists it as uncharacterized. The record is from RefSeq and is a predicted model, not a curated record. The transcript is spliced from 2 exons. Lineage: Eukaryota; Metazoa; Arthropoda; Insecta; Diptera; Culicidae.
CUGAGGAAGAUUACAAGUGGUAGUCGAAAUACGCGUAUCUGUCAAAGGAUAAGCAACAUAGGACGGAAUUAAAAGGUACGAAACUGAUUACACUCAGUCGAAGGAAAAAUCCGAAGUUUUUGCUUUUAUGGUAAUAUAGGCUUUCUGGUCCAAUCGGUGAGGCAUGUUCCCGAAUCCAAUAACUCUUUCCGAGGUAUUUGUUGUUCUGACGCCCCAUCGUUUAAUAAUAUCGGUAGAGACUCGUAGCUCUGCUGCGGUGCUGUUCAGAUGGGGGGGUCUGUGAGUGCGGCAAUUUAGAGCAUGCACUUAUUUGAUGCAUUUCAUUUUUUUUUGUAUGAUGUGCAAGGAUAAUGAUUCUUCUUAUUUCUUGCACAAAAUUCCCACUGGGACAGAGCCUGUUUCUCAGCUCAGUUGUAAAACAUACAGCAAUAAAUUCCUUUGGAACAAAUCAUGGAGGGUCCUUGAGAUAUGAUACCUUUGGGGAAUCUAAUCAACAAGUUAGAUAUUUUAGAAGAAGUUGGGGAUUCAUAAGGAACAUUGGGGAUUUUUAGGAGAUAUUGGGGAGGGUAAAGGGAACUUAGGAAUCAUGGGGGUCCUUGAAAAUUAAACCUUUGGAAAAUCUAAUCAACAAGUUGGACAUUUUAGGAGAAGUUGGGGAUUCUUAAGGGACAUUGGGGAUUUUUAGGAGAUAUUGGGGAGGGUAAAGGGAACAUAGGAAUCAUGGGGGUCCUUGAGAAAUGAUACUUUUGGGGAAUGUUAUCAUAAAGUUGGACAUUUUAGGAGAAGUUUGGGAUUCUUAAGGAACAUUGGGGAUUUUUAGGAGAUAUUGGGGAGGUUAAAGGAAACUUAUUAAUCAUGGGGGUUUUUCGGAAAUGAUACCUUUGGGGAAUCUAAUCAACAAAUUGGGCAUUUUAGGAGAAGUUGGGGAUUCUUAAGGAACAUUGGGGAUUUUUAGGAGAUAUUGGGGAUUUUUCAGGAACAUUUGGAAUUUUUAGAAGAUGUUGGGGCGGAUAAAGGGAACUUAGGAAUCAUGGGGGUCCUUGAGAAAAUUAUACCUUUGGGGAAUCUUAUCUACAAGUUGGACAUUUUAGGAGAAGUUGGGAAUUCAUUAGGAACAUUGGGCAUUUUUAGGAGAUAUUGGGGAUUUUUAGGAGAUAUUGGGGAUUUUAAAGGAUCAUUGGGGAUUUUUAGAAGACAUUGGGGAUUUUUAGAAGACAUUGGGGAUUUUUAAGGAACGUUGGGGAUUUUCAGGAGAUAUUGGGGAUUUUUAAGAAACAUUAUGGAUUUUAAAGGAACGAUGGGGAUUUUUAGGAGAUAUUGGAGUGGGUAAAGGUAACUAAGGAAUCAUGGGGGUCCUAGGGAUAUGAUACCUUUGGGGAAUCUAAUCAACUAGUUGGAUAUUUUAGGAGAAGUUGGGGAUUCAUAAGGAACAUUGGGGAUUUUUAGGAGAUAUUGGGGAGGGUAAUGGGAACUUAGGAAUCAUGAAGGUGCUUGGGAUAUGAUACCUUUGGGGAAUCUAAUCAACAAGUUGGCCAUUUAAGGAGAAGUUGGGGAUUCUUAAGGGACAUUGGGGAUUUUUAGGAGAUAUUGGAGAGUGUAAAGGGAACAUAGGAGUCAUGGGGGUCCUUGAGAAAUUAUACCUUUGGGGAAUCCAAUCAACAAGUUGGAUAUUUUGGGAGAAGUUGGGGAUUCUUAAGGAACAUUGGGGAUUUUUAGGAGAUAUUGGGGAGGGUAAAGGGAACUUAGGAAUCAUGGGGGACCUUGGGAAAUGAUACCUUUGGGGAAUCUAAUCAACAAGUUGGCCAUUUAAGGAGAAGUUGGGGAUUGUUAAGGGACAUUGGGGAUUUUUAGAAGAUAUUGGGGAUCAAUCAACAAUCCAAUCAACAAGUUGGACAUUUUUGGAGGUAUUGGGGAUUUUUAAGGAACAUUGGGGAUUUUUAGGAGAUAUUGGGGAGGGUAAAGGGAACUAAGGAAUCAUGGGAGUCCUUGGGAAAUGAUACCUUUGGGAAAUUCAAUCAACAAGUUGGACAUUUUAGGAGAUAUUGGGGAUUUUAAGGAACUUUGGGGAUUUUUUGGUGAUAUUGGGGCGGGAAAAGGGAACUUAGGAAUCAUGGUGGUCCUUGGGAUAUGAUACCUUUGGGGAAUCUAAUCAACAAGUUGGAUAUUUUAGGAGGUAUUGGGGAUUCUUAAGAAACAUUGGGGAUUUUUAGUAGAUAUUGGGGAAUUUUAAGGAACAUUGGGGAUUUUAAAGGAACAUUGGGGAUUUUUAGGAGAUAUUGGGGCGAAAAAAGGAAACUUAGGAAACAUGGGGGUCCUUGGGAAAUGAUACCUUUGGGGAAUCUAAUCGACAAGUCGGACAUUUUAGGAGAAGUUGGGGAUUCUUAAGGAACAUUGGGGAUUUUUAGAAGAUAUUGAGGAGGGUAAAGGGAACUUAGGAAUCAUGGGGGUCCUUGGGAAAUGAUACCUUUGGAGAAUCCAAUCAACAAGUUGGACAUUUUAGGAGAUAUUGGGGAUUUUUAGGAGAUAUUGGGGAUUUUUAUGGAACAUUGGGGAUUUUUAGGAGAUAUUGGGGCGGGUAAAGGGAACUUAGGAAUCAUGGGGGUCUUUGGGAUAUGAUACCUUUGGGGAAUCUUAUCCACAAGUUGGCCAUUUUAGGAGAUAUUGGGGAUUUUUAAGGAACAUUGGUGAUUUUUAGGAGAUAUUGGGGAGGGUAAAGGGAACUUAGGAAUCAUAGGGGUCCUUGGAAUAUGAUACCUUUGGGGAAUCUAAUCAACAAGUUUGAUAUUUUAGGAUAAGUUGGGGAUUCUUAAGGAACAUUGGGGAUUUUUAGGAGAUAUUGGGGAGGGUAAAAGGAACUCAGGAAUCAUGGGGGUCAUUGGGAAAUGAUACCUUUGGGGAAUCUAAUCGACAAGUCGGACAUUGUUGGAGAAGUUGGGGAUUCUUAAGGGGCAUUGGGGAUUUUUAGGCGAUAUUGGGGAGGGUAAGGGGAACUUAGGAAACUUGGGGGUCCUUGGGAUAUGGUACCUUUGGGGAAUCUUAUCAUUAAGUUGGACAUUCUUGGUUAUUUUAGUGAUUUUUAAGGAACAUUGGGGAUUUUUAGAAGAUAUUGGAGAGGGUAAAGGGAACUUAGGAAUCAUGGGGGUCCUUGGGAUAUGAUACCUUUGGGGAAUCUAAUCGGAGGGUAAUCGGAACUUAUGAAUCAUGAGUGUCCUUGGGAAAUGAUACCUUCGGGAUUCGUUAGAUUUUGUUGGACAUUUUAGGAGAAGUUGGGGAUUCUUCAGGAACAUUGGAAAUUUUGAGGAAACAUUGGGGAUUUUUUAAGGAAUAUUGAGGCUUUUUAGAAGAUAUAGGGGUUUUUUAAGGAACUUUGGGGCUUUUGAGGAGAUAUUGGGAGGGUAAGGGGAACUUGAGAAUUAUGGAGGUCUGCAUGGGAAAUAAUACCUUUGGGGAACAUAAGCAACAAGUUGGUCAUUUUAGCAGAAAUAGCGGAUUUUAUUAGAAACAUCGAUAAUUUUUAGGAGAUAUUGGAGAGGUUACAGGAAACAUAGGAAUCAUGAAGGUCUUCUUGAGGAAAAAUGCCUUUGGGAAAUCUAUCGAAUAAGUUGGACGUUUUAGGAGAAGUUGGGGAUUUUUAAGGAACAUUGAGAAUUUUUAGGAGGUAUUGGAAAUUUUUAAAGGAAGGUUGUGGAAUUUUAGGAAAUAUUGGUUAGGGUAUAGGGAACUUAGGAAUAAUUUGCGUCCUUGGGAAAUGAUACCCUUGAGGAAUCUAUACAACAAGUUGGACAUUUUAGAAGAAGUUGGGGAUUCUUAAGGAGAUAUUAGGAAUUUUUAAAGGAAUGUUUGGGAUCAUUUCCCAAGGACCCCUAUGAUUCCUAAGUUCCCUUUACCCUCCCCAAUAUCUCCUAAAAAUCCCCAAUGUCCCUUUAGAUUCCCCAACUUCUUCUAAAAUAUCCAACUUUAUGAUUAAAUUCCCCAAAGGUAUCGUUUCCCAAGGACCCCCAUGAUUCCUAAGUUCCUUUUACCCUCCCCAAUAUCGCCUAAAAAUCCCCAAUGUCCCUUAAGAAUCCCCAACUUCUCCUAAAAUAUCCAACUUUAUGAUUAGAUUCCCCAAAGGUAUCGUUUCCCAAGGACCCCCAUAAUUCCUAAGUUCCCUUUACCCGCCCCAAUAUCUCCUAAAAAUCCCCAAUGUUCCUGAAGAAUCCCCAAUAUCUCCUAAAAAUCCCCAAUGUUUCUUAAGAAUCCCAAACUUCUCCUAAAAUGUCCAACUUUAUGAUUAGAUUCCCAAAGGUAUCGUUUCCCAAGGACCCUCAUGAUUCCUAAGUUCCCUUUUCCCGCCCCAAUAUCUCCCAAAAAUCCCCAUCGUUCCUUAAAAAUCCAUAAUGUUUCUUAAAAAUCCCCAAUAUCUCCUGAAAAUCACCAACGUUCCUUAAAAAUCCCCAAUGUCUUUUAAAAAUCCCCAAUGUUCCUUUAAAAUCCCCAAUAUUUCCUAAAAAUCCCCAAUAUCUCCUAAAAAUCCCCAAUAUCUCCUAAAAAUGCCCAAUGUUCCUAAUGAAUUCCCAACUUCUCCUAAAAUGUCCAACUUGUAGAUAAGAUUCCCCAAAGGUAUAAUUUUCUGAAGGACCCCCAUGAUUCCUAAGUUCCCUUUAUCCGCCCCAACAUCUUCUAAAAAUCCCCAAUGUUCCUUAAAAAUCCCCAAUAUCUCCUAAAAAUCCCCAAUGUCCCUUAAGAAUCCCCAACUUCUCCUAAAAUGUUCAUUUUGGUGAUUAGAUUCUUCAAAGGUAUCAUUUCCUAAAGACACCCAUGAUUCCUAAGUUUCCUUUACCCUCCCCAAUAUAUCCUAAAAAUCCCCAAUGUCCCUUAAGAAUUCCCAACUUCUCCUAAAAUGUCCAACUUGUUGAUUAGAUUUUCCAAAGGUAUAAUUUUCAAGGACCCCCAUGAUUCCUAAGUUCCCUUUACCCUCCCCAAUAUCUCCUAAAAAUCCCCAAUGUCCCUUAAGAAUCCCCAACUUCUUCUAAAAUGUCCAACUUGUUGAUUAGAUUCCCCAAAAGUAUCAUUUCCCAAGGACCCCCAUGAUUCCUAAGUUCCCUUUAACCUCACCAAUAUCGCCUUAAAAUCCCCAAUGUCCCUUUAGAAUCCCCAACUUCUCCUAAAAUGUCCAACUUUAUGAUAAAAUUCCCCAAAGGUAUCAUUUCUCAAGGACCCCCAUGAUUCCUAUGUUCCCUUUACCCUCCCCAAUAUCUCCUAAAUAUCCCCAAUGUCCCUUAAGAAUCCCCAACUUCUCCUUAAAUGGCCAACUUGUUGAUUAGAUUCCUCAAAGGUAUCAUAUCCCAAGCACCCCCAUGAUUCCUAAGUUCCGAUUACCCUCCCCAAUAUCUCCUAAAAAUCCCCAAUGUUCCUUAUGAAUCCCCAACUUCUCUUAAAAUAUCCAACCUGUUGAUUAGAUUCCCCAAAGGUAUCGUUUCCCAAGGACCCCCAUGAUUCCUAAGUUCCCUCUUCCCGCCCCAAUAUCUCCUAAAAAUCCCCAAUGUUCCUUAAGAAUCCCCAACUUCUCCUGAAUUAUCCAACUUGUUGAUUAGAUUCCCCAAAGGUGUCACUCAAUGACCCCCAUGAUUCCUAAGUUCCCUUUACCCUCCCCAAUAUAUCCUAAAAAUCCCCAAUGUUCCUUAAGAAUCCCCAACUUCUCCUAAAAUGUCCAACUUGUUGAUUAGAUUCCCCAAAAGUAUCAUUUCCCAAGGACCCCCAUGAUUCCUAAGUUCCCAUUACCCUCCCCAAUAUCUCCUAAAAAUCCCCAAUGUUCCUUAUGAAUCCCCAACUUCUCCGAAAAUAUCCAACUUGUUGAUUAGAUUCCCCAAAGGUAUCGUUUCCCAAGGACCCUCAUGAUUCCUAAGUUCCCUUUUCCCGCCCCAAUAUCUCUUAAAAGUUCCCAAUGUUCCUUAAGAAUCCCCAACUUCUCCUGAAAUACCCAACUUGUUGAUUAGAUUCCCCAAAGGUAUCACUCAAUGAUCCCCAUGAUUCCUUAGUUCCCUUCACCCGCUCCAAUAUCUCCUAAAAAUCCCCAUCGUUCCUUAAAAAUCCAUAAUGUUUCUUAAAAAUCCCCAAUAUCUCCUUAAAAUCCCCAAUAUCUCCUAAAAAUGCCCAAUGUUCCUAAUGAAUUCCCAACUUCUCCAAAAAUGUCCAACUUGUAGAUAAGAUUCCCCAAAGGUAUAAUUUUCUCAAGGACCCCCAUGAUUCCUAAGUUCCCUUUAUCCGCCCCAACAUCUUCUAAAAAUCCCCAAUGUAUCUUAAAAAUCCCCAAUAUCUCCUAAAAAUCCCCAAUGUUCCUUAAGAAUCCCCAACUUCUCCUAAAAUGCCCAACUUGUUGAUUAGAUUCCCCAAAGGUAUCAUUUCCGAAAACCCCCAUGAUAAAUAAGUUCCCUUUACCCUCCCCAAUAUCUCCUAAAAAUCCCCAAUGUCCCUUAAGAAUCCCCAACUUCUCCUUAAAUGGCCAACUUGUUGAUUAGAUUCCCUUAAGGUGAAACAUCAAGAAAUCCCAUUGCAAUUUUUCAUACAAACUUUAGAGGCACAAAUCUGACGAACAAAGCAUCGAGCUAAACCGCACUUGUUUUUCCUGGCUUUGCUCACUUGCAAAAAGAGGCAGCUUUUACAAAUCGAGAGCAUUUGUUUACGAAUUUUCAAGAUUGGUGCUCUUGAAAACGUGAGUAGGGGACCAAGUCGGCCAUUGUGGCAGCCAUGUUUGUAUUCUCUGAAGUUUCUCCUUAAGGUAUCAUAUCCCAAGCACCCCCAUGAUUCCUAAGUUCCCAUUACCUUCCCCAAUAUCUCCUAAAAAUCCCCAAUGUUCCUUAUGAAUCCCCAACUUCUCCUAAAAUAUCUAGCUUGUUGAUUAGAUUCCCCAAAGGUAUCAUAUCCCAAGGACCCUCCAUGAUUUGUUCCAAAGGAAUUUAUUGCUGUAUGUUUUACAACUGAGCUGAGAAACAGGCUCUGUCGCAGUGGGAAUGUUGUGCAAGAAAUAAGAAGAAUCAUUAUCCUUGCACAUCAUAUGUGCAUGCUCUAAAUUGCCGCACGCACAGACCCCCCCAUCUGAACAGCACCGCAGCAGAGCUACUCUCUAAAAUAAAAGCUCUCAUUUUUGAGUAGCGCCCAUGCCGCACAGGGACUGUGUUGGAAACACACAUUUUUUAAAUUGCUCGUACGCUCACAUUUUUGCAAAAUAUCAAUAUUUUUCGGUAUUUGAAGGUGGUUUAUAAACUCAGUGAGGUUGCCAUGUCGAAAUUAUUGCAAAAUACAUGCUCAUGUGAGCGUACGAGCAAUUUUAAAAAAAUGUGUGUUUCCAACACAGUCAUGUGCGGCAUGGAUGUUUACUAAAAAUGUGCAGGCCGAACACAUUUUUGAGCGUAGCCGUUUUUGCAUGUACGAGUGCGAAGGAUUUAAAUGGUUGCUCUUGUAAAUACACUUUCGUCGGUGCUUUCCUUUCGCUCCGUCGAAAAACAAGUUAACUGCACGUCGCACUUAGUAUGCGCAAAUCCAAACUCCGCUUCGAAUGAUUCCACAGGCGGAGAUGUGACGCGACAAAGAGCGAGCUCGUUUUCUGUAUACAAUGACAUCACCAGCAGCCAAGCCAGCAGCAGUAGUCGUCCUCAUGCCGUCGAGCAACACCACACGAACGCACGACGGAUAGGGUGAUGACCAUUGUUUUGGCAUGAAGUUAAUGCAAUUUGGAACGUUAUUUUCAAAAACAUUUUUUGGCUUAACUACAAGAGAUAGAGUUUUGGUGUCAAAGAAACAUUUUUAGGGAACAAGUUCGUGCAUGUUUUGUAGAAGAACUUUUUUAACAAAAGCUUUAUUUUUAUAUUUAAAUCAUCAAAAAUGUCCAAAAAAGAGUCGAUUUUUCCGACCAAUUUUGCACUAUUUUUCAAUUUAAGGCCUUUUAAACUAUUUUUACAAAGUUUACGUCCAAGAGACUAAGAAAGUAGAAGUUAUUAGCUUUCAAUUCGUGCGCUGACAAAGUUUGUACGAUUGAUAGUUUAGUAGAUACAGGACUUCAAAGAUAACCAAAAAUUAAAAGCUUAAAAUGUGAUUUACUCACUUAGCAGUGAUUUCCGACCCUAUGUUCCAUGGGAACUUUUUCAUCUCUCAUCAAGACCUAUCAGCCCUGAAAAUAUCCAAAACGCGGAACCAAACACCCUGUAUUCUUACAAAUUCGGUGCUUUAGUCCAUUCUAUGACCUCCUCGCUGUAGCUACUCAUCUUCACUUCUGAUUGAACAACUUUACUUUUUGCUAUAUAGAGACCAAUUGUUACACUAGGAGUGCUAAAGUUUAAAUAUAAUUAAUCUUUCAAGGUAAAAAAAUCAGAUGCGUUUUCAUACGCAACACUCCUCCCCGUAACACUUCUACUUGCAGAAGUUUUACAUCUUAUUUGAAAUUUUGAAUUUGUAUAUAAACAUGAUUACUACAGCAAUAGGAAACAAUCAAACCAAUGAUUUUUCAAAGUAAGAAUUGUCAGGGGAAACAACGCAAUUUUUUAGAUUGAGAUCCGGAAAUUCCAAAAGUCAAUUAUUAUCUUUAUUAAAAUGAUUUUCAGCACAGUUAUUGACUGGUUCGUCUCAGUUUUAGAAAGUAAAAAUUCGACGGGGAAUUUUGUCCCAUUGUUUCCUAUUGAAAAUGGAUCAGAUUGGUCCAGCCGUUUCAGAGUUAUAGCCAUUUAGGUGUUCCGGGGGGAAGGGGUCAGACAUGAAAAUGCAACAAACUAAUACGACCCAUCGAUCAACGGUAUGUUCGAUAAUCUGGUUAACAGUAAGCGGGAAAAUAGUAUCAGGCUAUAUCUGAACCGGUAGUGUUCCGGAACCGGUUCCGGGUGUCCCGCCGGAAAUGGUCAAAUUUAAAAGCGAACCAAACACAUAGAAAUCUCAGCUUUUUCUAUAGCCUGAGGAAAAUAGUCUCAAACCAUAUCUGAACCGGUAGUGUUCCGGAGCUGGUUCCGGGUGUCCCGGAUGAAGUGUCCAAAUAUGAAAGUUAAACAAACCUUUGUAUGCGACAUAUCAAAUCAUGGCUUUUUUAAAUACCUGAUAAACGGUAAGCAGUUUGGUAAGCAGGAAAAUAGUAUCAGACCAUAUCUGAACCAGUUGUGUUCCGAAACCGGUUCCGGAUAUCUCGCCGGAAGUGGCCAAAUAUAAAAGUGAACAAAACUCAUACAUGCCAACCCCCUGAAGAAAGCGUUAGUUCUUGAAGUCACCACCUUUAAUGUGGCGCCACAGGUUUGUUUGCGAAAUUUCAGUCUGCUGAUCAAUCUGCUACGUGCGGAAGUGAACUUUGUCGUAAGAAGAUAAAUUCGUGAUCGAGAAACGAUCAUUUUCAUGUAUUGUUCAAUGCGUAUAGUGUUCCUUAUUAAAAUGACAAGGCGCACACGUAUCAAAAUACAAUUAGCUCACUCAAAACAGCUUUGCUGUACGAAGAUAAAUUCGUGAUCGAGAAACGAUCAUUUCCACACGUAUUGUUCAUUUCAUUUAGUGUUUCUUGCUAAAUUUACAAGGUGCACAAGUAUAAAAAUACAUUUAGCCCAUUUAAAACAACGCUGAAGUCCAUAAAAUGUAAAUGUCGUGCCUUAUCCAGCGGAAUAAAUGACUGCGUUUUCAGCUGAAUGCAAUCGCCCAUUCAAAUCAGCUCCACGUCCAGCACCAAAUUUUUGGCUUCACUCCAGUUGUAUGUGGAUGACAGCCGUUUCAGGAGGUUGAUGCAUGCGACACAUCAAAUCGUGGACUGUUCGAUAACAUUAUGUACGGUUGGCAAGAAAAUAGGCUCAGACUACACUAAAAACUACAGGUAAUGUUCCGGAAUCGGUUCCUGGUUUCCCGUUGAAAGAGUCCAAAUAUAUAAGUGAUCCAAACCCGUGCAUGCAACUCAUUAAAUUGCGGCUCUUUAGAUAAUCUGAUUACGGCCAGCAAUAAAUAGUUUAAGAUCAUAUUUGGGAUAACUGUAAUGUUCCGGAACCGGUUCCGGGUGUCUCGCCGAAAGUGGUCGAAUCUAAACGCGAGACAAUAUUCACGACACAUAAAAUGGCUUUUUCAAUAACCUUAUGAACUGUUAACGGUUAACAAUCUCAGAUAAUAUUUGGGAAAACUAAUACAUAGUGCCCCGGAAUCAAUUCCGGGUGUCCCACCGGAAGUGGUCAAAUGCAGAAAAAAAAUCAAACCCAUGUAUGCGACACAUCAAAUCUCGGCUUUUUCGAUAAACUGAUGAACGGAUUAAAAAAAAAAGCCUCAGAUCACAUUGGAGACUACCGAUAGUGUUGCACAACCGGUUCCGGGUGUCCCGCAGAAAUUGUUCAAAUGUUAAAAUGACCCAAACCUAUGCUUGCGGUACAUCAAAUCGUUUUUUUUUUCAGUAACCUGACCAGUUGUGGCCACAAGUUUUUUGAUAUCCUGAUGAAUGGUUAGCAAGAAAAUAGACUCAGACUAUAUUAGAGACAGCCGGUGGUGUUGCACAAGCUGUGUUGAGUGCUUCGCCGGAAUUAUGAAAGGCUGAUAUUUUCAGCUCUGCCCAUAUGUUAAACAUACAUAAGUGCCUUCAAUAAGUUUCCCAAUUCGAUUAUGACUUUGAAAGAAUUCUUGCUUAUACAGUUUACAGUACACUGUCACCUUUAGGUGGAUUAAUCUAAGUUUUUUUUUUCAGUUGCAUCCCCUCUGGAAGAAAUACAUAUUAAAUUACUAAGAAAAAUAAAAAAAUCGGUUCCAACGAAUAGAUGGGAAAACGCAUUGGCCAAAUUUGCAUACUCAUAUUCGAAUCAAGAUGCAUGGGAACUCGAGCGAUUUGGAUACAAAAAUUCAAGCAUUGCUGUCAAACUACGUGUUCUAAAGGCUCUGUUGGAGGCACAGUUUGACCGCAACGUUAAAUUCAAAAGUCACAUCAACGGUAUUGAGGCAGAGCAGCUACGUUCUGAGCCAAUUGGCAGAGACAAAUUUGGUAACACGUAUUGGUGUAUCUUGGACCGUCAGUGCAAUGUCCAAAUAUUUUGCGAAAAUCUUGACGAUGAAGCUUGGAAGGUAGUGGCAAGGUAAUUUGGUAUUUCAUUCUCUUUGGUUUCUCCGUCGGGUGUAAGAUCACUUUUCUUAGGUUAAUACAAGCAUAAAGCUGUUAGUACAAGGGGCCAAAUAUUUGUCCAAAAAGAAACCAAUGCUCAAAUAUAUUGUUUGACUAGAUCGAA